This 64-nucleotide transfer RNA is filed under the name Mordellochroa milleri. RNAcentral's name for it is "tRNA-Thr". It matches the Rfam family "tRNA". Rfam says of the family: Transfer RNA (tRNA) molecules are approximately 80 nucleotides in length. Their secondary structure includes four short double-helical elements and three loops (D, anti-codon, and T loops). Further hydrogen bonds mediate the characteristic L-shaped molecular structure. tRNAs have two regions of fundamental functional importance: the anti-codon, which is responsible for specific mRNA codon recognition, and the 3' end, to which the tRNAs corresponding amino acid is attached (by aminoacyl-tRNA synthetases). tRNAs cope with the degeneracy of the genetic code in two manners: having more than one tRNA (with a specific anti-codon) for a particular amino acid; and 'wobble' base-pairing, i.e. permitting non-standard base-pairing at the 3rd anti-codon position. Lineage: Eukaryota; Metazoa; Arthropoda; Insecta; Coleoptera; Mordellidae. The record is from RNAcentral.
GUUUUAAUAAUUUAAAUAAAAUAUUGGUCUUGUAAUCCAAAAAUAAGAAAAUCCUUUUAAAACU